RNAcentral lists this ribosomal RNA (252 nucleotides) under uncultured bacterium. Its description in RNAcentral is "partial 16S ribosomal RNA". It matches the Rfam family "Bacterial small subunit ribosomal RNA", at positions 524 to 776 of the family's 1533-position model. The record is from RNAcentral.
UACGUAGGUCCCGAGCGUUGUCCAGAUUUAUUGGGCGUAAAGCGAGCGCAGGUGGUUUAUUAAGUCUGGUGUAAAAGGCAGUGGCUCAACCAUUGUAUGCAUUGGAAACUGGUAGACUUGAGUGCAGGAGAGGAGAGUGGAAUUCCAUGUGUAGCGGUGAAAUGCGUAGAUAUUAGGAGGAACACCAGUGGCGAAGGCGGUCUGCUGGACAGCAACUGACGCUGAGGCGCGAAAGCGUGGGGAGCAAACAGG